GCGCGAAAACUUUACAAUGCUGGCAACAGCGAUAAGGGAACCUCGAGUGCCAGGUUACAAAUCUGGCUGUCGAGAUGCCUAAAAAGCAUUUCAUAGCAAGGGCCGGGCAAGACCGGUGCCAGCCGCCGCGGUAACACCGGCGGCUCGAGUGGUAACAGUUAUUAUUGGGUCUAAAGGGUCUGCAGCCGGCCGGAUAAGUCUCUUGAGAAAUCUGGCAGCUUAACUGUCAGGCUUUCAGGAGAUACUGUCUGGCUCGAGGCCGGGAGAGGUGAGAGGUACUUCAGGGGUAGGGUUGAAAUCUUGUACUCCUUGAAGGACCACCAGUGGCGAAGGCGUCUCACCAGAACGGACCUGACUGCAAGGGACGAAAGCUAGGGGCACGAACC
RNAcentral lists this ribosomal RNA (386 nucleotides) under uncultured prokaryote. RNAcentral's name for it is "bacterial SSU rRNA". It matches the Rfam family "Archaeal small subunit ribosomal RNA", at positions 339 to 725 of the family's 1478-position model. The record is from RNAcentral.